RNAcentral lists this ribosomal RNA (253 nucleotides) under uncultured bacterium. RNAcentral describes it as "partial 16S ribosomal RNA". It matches the Rfam family "Bacterial small subunit ribosomal RNA", at positions 524 to 776 of the family's 1533-position model. The record is from RNAcentral.
UACGAAGGGUGCGAGCGUUAAUCGGAAUUACUGGGCGUAAAGAGCACGUAGGCGGUUUGAUAAGCGAAAUGUGAAAGCCCCGGGCUUAACCUGGGAACUGCAUUUCGAACUGUCAGGCUAGAGUAUGAUAGAGGUGAGCGGAAUUUCCUGUGUAGCGGUGAAAUGCGUAGAUAUAGGAAGGAACAUCAGUUGCGAAGGCGGCUCACUGGAUCAAUACUGACGCUGAGGUGCGAAAGCGUGGGUAGCGAACAGG